GAGAAAGAAAAAGUUUGAGAAACAAGAAACAGAGAGAAAGAAAAGAUGAGGAGAGUGAGUUUUUCUCUUCUUUCCCUCUCCCUUCUCCUCUUCUUCCU
Molecule: non-coding RNA, 98 nt
Filed under: Paramoeba aestuarina
Lineage: Eukaryota; Discosea; Flabellinia; Dactylopodida; Paramoebidae
Source: RNAcentral